RNAcentral lists this ribosomal RNA (489 nucleotides) under uncultured bacterium. Its description in RNAcentral is "partial 16S ribosomal RNA". It matches the Rfam family "Bacterial small subunit ribosomal RNA", at positions 28 to 507 of the family's 1533-position model. The record is from RNAcentral.
GAUGAACGCUAGCGGGAGGCCUAACACAUGCAAGCCGAGCGGGAUUUGUUGGUUAGCUUGCUAACUAACAAUGAGAGCGGCGUACGGGUGCGUAGCACGUGUGCAACCUGCCUUUAUCUGGGGGAUAGCCUUUCGAAAGGAAGAUUAAUACCCCAUAACAUAUUGAUUGGCAUCAGUUAAUAUUGAAAGCUCCGGCGGAUAGAGAUGGGCACGCGUAAGAUUAGCUAGUUGGUGAGGUAACGGCUCACCAAGGCUGCGAUCUUUAGGGGGCCUGAGAGGGUGAUCCCCCACACUGGUACUGAGACACGGACCAGACUCCUACGGGAGGCAGCAGUGAGGAAUAUUGGACAAUGGGUGAGAGCCUGAUCCAGCCAUCCCGCGUGAAGGACUAAGGACCUAUGGUUUGUAAACUUCUUUUAUACAGGGACAAACCUACUCUCGUGAGGGUAGCUGAAGGUACUGUAUGAAUAAGCACCGGCUAACUCCGUG